UCGUCAGUAGCACAGCGGCCUAGUGCGCGGUGAUUAUCCGAGACGGUGGUUCGAAUCCACCCUGACGAA
Molecule: transfer RNA, 69 nt
Filed under: Rarobacter faecitabidus
Lineage: Bacteria; Bacillati; Actinomycetota; Actinomycetes; Micrococcales; Rarobacteraceae
Description: tRNA-Ala
Rfam family: tRNA
About the family: Transfer RNA (tRNA) molecules are approximately 80 nucleotides in length. Their secondary structure includes four short double-helical elements and three loops (D, anti-codon, and T loops). Further hydrogen bonds mediate the characteristic L-shaped molecular structure. tRNAs have two regions of fundamental functional importance: the anti-codon, which is responsible for specific mRNA codon recognition, and the 3' end, to which the tRNAs corresponding amino acid is attached (by aminoacyl-tRNA synthetases). tRNAs cope with the degeneracy of the genetic code in two manners: having more than one tRNA (with a specific anti-codon) for a particular amino acid; and 'wobble' base-pairing, i.e. permitting non-standard base-pairing at the 3rd anti-codon position.
Source: RNAcentral